Molecule: ribosomal RNA, 1205 nt
Filed under: Bacillus velezensis
Lineage: Bacteria; Bacillati; Bacillota; Bacilli; Caryophanales; Bacillaceae
Description: bacterial SSU rRNA
Rfam family: Bacterial small subunit ribosomal RNA
Source: RNAcentral
CGUGGGUAACCUGCCUGUAAGACUGGGAUAACUCCGGGAAACCGGGGCUAAUACCGGAUGGUUGUCUGAACCGCAUGGUUCAGACAUAAAAGGUGGCUUCGGCUACCACUUACAGAUGGACCCGCGGCGCAUUAGCUAGUUGGUGAGGUAACGGCUCACCAAGGCGACGAUGCGUAGCCGACCUGAGAGGGUGAUCGGCCACACUGGGACUGAGACACGGCCCAGACUCCUACGGGAGGCAGCAGUAGGGAAUCUUCCGCAAUGGACGAAAGUCUGACGGAGCAACGCCGCGUGAGUGAUGAAGGUUUUCGGAUCGUAAAGCUCUGUUGUUAGGGAAGAACAAGUGCCGUUCAAAUAGGGCGGCACCUUGACGGUACCUAACCAGAAAGCCACGGCUAACUACGUGCCAGCAGCCGCGGUAAUACGUAGGUGGCCAAGCGUUGUCCCGGAAUUAUUGGGCGUAAAGGGCUCGCAGGCGGUUUCUUAAGUCUGAUGAAAGCCCCCGGCUCAACCGGGGAGGGUCAUUGGAAACUGGGGAAUUGAGUGCAGAAGAGGAGAUGGAAUUCCACGUGUAGCGGUGAAAUGCGUAGAGAUGUGGAGGAACAAGUGGCGAAGGCGACUCUCUGGUCUGUAACUGACGCUGAGGAGCGAAAGCGUGGGGAGCGAACAGGUUAGAUACCCUGGUAGUCCACGCCGUAAACGAUGAGUGCUAAGUGUUAGGGGGUUUCCGCCCCUUAGUGCUGCAGCUAACGCAUUAAGCACUCCGCCUGGGGAGUACGGUCGCAAGACUGAAACUCAAAGGAAUUGACGGGGGCCCGCACAAGCGGUGGAGCAUGUGGUUUAAUUCGAAGCAACGCGAAGAACCUUACCAGGUCUUGACAUCCUCUGACAAUCCUAGAGAUAGGACGUCCCCUUCGGGCAGAGUGCAGGUGGUGCAUGGUUGUCGUCAGCUCGUGUCGUGAGAUGUUGGGUUAAGUCCCGCAACGAGCGCAACCCUUGAUCUGUUGCCAGCAUUCAGUUGGGCACUCUAGGUGACUGCCGGUGACAAACCGGAGGAAGGUGGGGAUGACGUCAAAUCAUCAUGCCCCUUAUGACCUGGGCUACACACGUGCUACAAUGGACAGAACAAAGGGCAGCGAAACCGCGAGGUUAAGCCAAUCCCACAAAUCUGUUCUCAGUUCGGAUCGCAGUCUGCAACUCGACUG